CUAACCCAGAUGACAGCCAUCUUCGUAUUUGCUGCUAUGAGAACCUCAGUUCCUACUGUUUAAUACGGAAAUGUCUGACGAUGGCUGCUUCUGGGUUGUUGCGUUGUGUAGUCCGGUUGCAACGGAAUAUGAUGCUGCUGCUGCUGAUGAUGAUAAUUUAUUGGGUGAUAUAAAUACAAUGAAGAGGAACACAGAAGUUUUACUAGAAGGUAGUAGAAAGGUUGGCCUAGAAAUAAAUUAAGAAAACAUGUUAGUACCUCUUCAGCUGACAGGCAGGCAAAAUGAUAUUAGGGUAGCUAAUAAAUCCUUUGAAAGUGUGACAAAAGUCAAGUAUUUGGGAACAAUAACAAAUAAAAAUUAUAUUCUUGAGAAAAUUGGGAGGAUACUUAAUUCUGGAAUUGCUUGCUACUUUUCAUUUCAAAAUAUUUUGCCUUCCCAUCUGAUUUCUAAUAACCUAAAGAUUAGAAUAUAGAAAAUAAUUUUGUAUGUGUGUGAAACAUGGUCUCUUAUUCUUAGGGAGGAACACGUUUUGUAGGUGUUGAGGAGGAUAUUUGAGCCCAGGAGAAAAGAGGUUUGGUAUGGAGAAAACUAAAUAAUGAUGAGCUUAAAAAUUGGUAUUUGCCCCUGAAUAUUGUCAGGGUGAAUAAGUCGAGAAGAAUGAGAUGGGCAGGACAUGUGGCAUGAGGUGUGCACCGGGUAAUAGUUGCGAAGUCUGAAGGGAAGAGACUGCUGGAGAGAACUAGACGCAGGUGGGAGGAUAACAGUUCUGGAUAUUCGCAUUAUUUUCGCUGACCAUAGGCUAUCCAGUAGAAUGUCAUCAAGGCCACCGACGCCGAAAUCAUAUUCGUACAAUAUUUUGUAUCACAUGCAGAUGGCAGUGAGAUCUGUGCUUCCAAACGAAAGAAAAAAAUAUCGUGCAGCCAUUCUGCGACGGCCAUUUUGUGAGUAAGUUAUUGUAGUGUAAGAAACAGUUUUAAAAGAUUUUAACGAAGUUAUUAAAAAAGUUUUAUGGCUGCACUGAAGAAACUGCUGUUCCCGGUGAUGAAGAUCCUUCAUGAUGGCAGCCAUAGUGGGCAGCUUGCCUGGAAUCCAGCCUCUGUACAGUGACCACAUGGAUUUCUUGUGUGGACACUCAGUUUGGGAAGAAACUCCAUUCCAAGAGGUGAAUGAUGUUGAGUGGGAGCUGAGCGAGAAUCAUCCUGGAAAUCUUGUCCUGCCAUUGUGAAGAAACUUAACAUCUGGUUGAGGGAGCAUCUCCCAGGAUCCCUUCGUCUAUAUGGAAGGGUCAUUCAGCAAAAACAGCGUUAGUUAUGAAGAUGUGUAAGAUCCAGCGCCGAGU
This is a long non-coding RNA of Zootermopsis nevadensis, 1339 nucleotides long. RefSeq lists it as uncharacterized. The record is from RefSeq and is a predicted model, not a curated record. NCBI's taxonomy places the organism in Eukaryota, Metazoa, Arthropoda, Insecta, Blattodea, Termopsidae.